CUUAAAUUGAAGAGUUUGAUCAUGGCUCAGAUUGAACGCUGGCGGCAGGCCUAACACAUGCAAGUCGAGCGGUAGCACAAGAGAGCUUGCUCUCUGGGUGACGAGCGGCGGACGGGUGAGUAAUGUCUGGGAAACUGCCUGAUGGAGGGGGAUAACUACUGGAAACGGUAGCUAAUACCGCAUAACCUCGCAAGAGCAAAGAGGGGGACCUUCGGGCCUCUCGCCAUCAGAUGUGCCCAGAUGGGAUUAGCUAGUAGGUGAGGUAAUGGCUCACCUAGGCGACGAUCCCUAGCUGGUCUGAGAGGAUGACCAGCCACACUGGAACUGAGACACGGUCCAGACUCCUACGGGAGGCAGCAGUGGGGAAUAUUGCACAAUGGGCGCAAGCCUGAUGCAG
Molecule: ribosomal RNA, 397 nt
Filed under: Pectobacterium odoriferum
Lineage: Bacteria; Pseudomonadati; Pseudomonadota; Gammaproteobacteria; Enterobacterales; Pectobacteriaceae
Description: bacterial SSU rRNA
Rfam family: Bacterial small subunit ribosomal RNA
Source: RNAcentral